RNAcentral lists this unclassified non-coding RNA (589 nucleotides) under Hevea brasiliensis (rubber tree). The record is from RNAcentral. Lineage: Eukaryota; Viridiplantae; Streptophyta; Magnoliopsida; Malpighiales; Euphorbiaceae.
GACAAUUGUGUAUAUAGUAGAUUUCAUAUAAUUGCAAGAAUUUGUACCUUAGUGGCUUAGUCACAUUUAAACGAUGCAAAAGGAAAUAGUGCUUCUCCUUUACAAAAAGCACUAUCCCAUUAAAAUGAAAAAAAGCAAAAUAUUGAAAUGUAAUUUAGAAAACUAGUAAUCAAGGUGUAGCCGUAAUCUUUGCCAUGAAUGCCUACAUGAUUCAGAGGAUGAACAACAUAGUAAUCAUACAUCCUACAAAUUGUUUUCUCCCAAUCAAUCAAACAAAACAAUAAUCUUACACGCAGACAUCUCAUUCCCCAUAAAGUGAUUCCAAAAGUAAAUUAGAAUCCAUGAACCCAUGUACCCAACACCAACUGUUAUGCUGGAACAACCACCACAAUUGACAAAAGUCAUCAUAAAAUAUAUGCUGCCUCUGAACAAUACUAGUUCCAGAAAGCAGGCACUAUGUUUUUUAAAUAAAACUGAAUAACUUGCCGUGUUAUUGCAUGUAACACAUGGAAUGUAUAAAAAACACAGGCAGAUAAUAUGAUUACUGCUCUAAUCCAUUCAGUUCACUCAAAAGAAGGGAAAAAAAAAG